This is a long non-coding RNA of Falco peregrinus (peregrine falcon), 968 nucleotides long. RefSeq lists it as uncharacterized. NCBI's taxonomy places the organism in Eukaryota, Metazoa, Chordata, Aves, Falconiformes, Falconidae. The record is from RefSeq and is a predicted model, not a curated record. The transcript has 2 exons.
AUUGACUUUGUGUGGAAAACAUACAUAUCAUGGAUGAAUAAAUCUUUAUACUCGCUUGCAGCAAAGCAGUUCUCAGGGAAGUGCAUUGAUUUCUCCUGUCCCCCUCCAGCUCGCAGCUCUCUGGUCAAAGUUUGCCAGGCAGAAACACACUAAAUGUCACUGUUGACUCCUCUCUGCUACCUUUUCUAUUUCAGGAUCCCACUGAUGACCUUACGUACAGCAAGGAGCCCAGCAGCGAUGCUCAUCCCUCCCAUGAAGCUCACGCAAGCUGCGAGAGGCACAGGCAAAGCACCACUGGGGAGCUGUGGGAGAAGGGCCCGGAGGAUCCCUGGCCGUGGGGAAGGGCUGGGUUUUGACACAUCUGUACCAGGUGCUGCAAUGACUGAACGACAACAAUACAUCUGUGCCGGAGGAACAGGACCUGCUGCCAGCUCUCCGGGAUGGCAGCCAUGGGUGGGAGUUACACCCGGAGCAUUGGGCAGAGACCGGAGCCUGCGAAGGGACGAGGAGCUGGUCCUUCUGCCCCAGCUUAGCGCCGGCCGGCCGGCCCCUCCUGCCGCCUAGGACGCAGGGUGGGCACGAGGAAACUUGGCGAACAGCGAGUACUUGUGCGCAGUUUGUACACAGACUGCUUUCCUCUGGCUGGGCAAGGUGUCGGGAUGGGCUGUGCCCUGUCAGGUCGCAGCUCAGGAAGUUUAUUACAAAAUUCCCUGAGCCUGACCACGGGCAGGAGCAGGCUGUGAUGGGCUCAAGCAGCUCCGGUGAGGGCACACGGGGGCCUUCGGCUCCAUCCUCCCGGCAGCCACCGGCCCUCAUUCAAGCGAUGCCAUAAAAACUCCUUCUUCUGGCCUUAAGGAAAAGCAGCGCUCCCCAAGGGGUGCGCGGGACAAGGGGUGACAGAUUUCCACUCCCCACAACAGAGCUGUAAUUCAUUCUUUUUAUUAAAAGAAAUUGAGGUAAGUGAAAUA